UGCAGUCAAUGAUGCAAUUUUUCCCAAAAUUAUGAUCUAUCUGUGAUUAAUAUCCAAAUUAUCACCAUCUUUCGACUGAGAUUGCA
Small nucleolar RNA from Arachis stenosperma, 86 nucleotides. NCBI's taxonomy places the organism in Eukaryota, Viridiplantae, Streptophyta, Magnoliopsida, Fabales, Fabaceae. The record is from RefSeq and is a predicted model, not a curated record.